GAUCCUGGCUUAGGAUAAACGCUGGCGGCGCACAUAAGACAUGCAAGUCGAACGAACUUAAUCCUUAGUUUACUAUAGGAAGCGGUUAGUGGCGGACUGGUGAGUAACGCGUAAGCAAUCUGCCUAUCAGAGGGGGAACAACAGUGAGAAAUCACUGCUAAUACCGCAUAUGCUGUGAGUAUGGCAUCAUACAAACAGGAAAGGAGCAAUCCGCUGAUAGAUGAGCUUGCGUCUGAUUAACUAGUUGGUGGGGUAACGGCCUACCAAGGUGAUGAUCAGUAGCCGGACUGAGAGGUUAAACGGCCACAUUGGGACUGAGAUACGGCCCAGACUCCUACGGGAGGCAGCAGUCGGGAAUAUUGCGCAAUGGAGGAAACUCUGACGCCAGUGACGCCGCGUGCAGGAUGAAGGUUUUCGGAUUGUAAACUGCUUUAGAUAGGGAAGAAACAAAUGACGGUACCUAUAGAAUAAGCUCCGGCUAACUACGUGCCAGCCGCGGC
RNAcentral lists this ribosomal RNA (500 nucleotides) under uncultured bacterium. RNAcentral's name for it is "bacterial SSU rRNA". It matches the Rfam family "Bacterial small subunit ribosomal RNA", at positions 15 to 518 of the family's 1533-position model. The record is from RNAcentral.